This 433-nucleotide ribosomal RNA is filed under the name uncultured bacterium. Its description in RNAcentral is "partial 16S ribosomal RNA". It matches the Rfam family "Bacterial small subunit ribosomal RNA", at positions 29 to 507 of the family's 1533-position model. The record is from RNAcentral.
AACGAACGCUGGCGGCAUGCCUAACACAUGCAAGUCGAACGAGACCUUCGGGUCUAGUGGCGCACGGGUGCGUAACGCGUGGGAACCUGCCUUUAGGUUCGGAAUAACUCAGAGAAAUUUGAGCUAAUACCGGAUGAUGUCUUCGGACCAAAGAUUUAUCGCCUUUAGAUGGGCCCGCGUUGGAUUAGCUAGUUGGUGGGGUAAAGGCCUACCAAGGCGACGAUCCAUAGCUGGUCUGAGAGGAUGAUCCGCCACACUGGGAAUGAGACACGGCCCAGACUCCGACGGGAGGGAGCAGUGGGGAAUAUUGGACAAUGGGCGAAAGCCUGAUCCAGCAAUGCCGCGUGAGUGAUGAAGGCCUUAGGGUUGUAAAGCUCUUUUACCCGAGAUGAUAAUGACAGUAUCGGGAGAAUAAGCUCCGGCUAACUCCGUG